This 884-nucleotide ribosomal RNA is filed under the name uncultured Bacteroidota bacterium. RNAcentral describes it as "bacterial SSU rRNA". It matches the Rfam family "Bacterial small subunit ribosomal RNA", at positions 8 to 881 of the family's 1533-position model. The record is from RNAcentral. Lineage: Bacteria; Pseudomonadati; Bacteroidota.
AGAGUUUGAUCAUGGCUCAGGAUGAACGCUAGCGGCAGGCUUAACACAUGCAAGUCGAGGGGUAACAGGGAUUGCUUGCAAUCCGCUGACGACCGGCGCACGGGUGCGUAACGCGUAUGCAACCUACCUUCUACAGGGGGAUAGUCAAUAGAAAUGUUGAAUAAUACCCCAUACGAUCUUUGAAUAGCAUUAUUUAGAGAAGAAAGUUCCGGCGGUAGAAGAUGGGCAUGCGUCCUAUUAGUUAGUUGGAGAGGUAACGGCUCCCCAAGACAUCGAUAGGUAGGGGUCCUGAGAGGGAGACCCCCCACACUGGUACUGAGACACGGACCAGACUCCUACGGGAGGCAGCAGUGAGGAAUAUUGGACAAUGGAGGCAACUCUGAUCCAGCCAUGCCGCGUGCAGGAAGACUGCCCUAUGGGUUGUAAACUGCUUUUAUACAGGAAGAAAUGUACCUACGUGUAGGUAUUUGACGGUACUGUACGAAUAAGGAUCGGCUAACUCCGUGCCAGCAGCCGCGGUAAUACGGAGGAUCCAAGCGUUAUCCGGAAUCAUUGGGUUUAAAGGGUCCGUAGGCGGUCUUUUAAGUCAGAGGUGAAAUCCUACAGCUCAACUGUAGAAUUGCCUUUGAUACUGAAAGACUUGAGUUAUUGUGAAGUAGUUAGAAUGUGUGGUGUAGCGGUGAAAUGCAUAGAGAUCACACAGAAUACCGAUUGCGAAGGCAGAUUACUAACAAUAUACUGACGCUGAGGGACGAAAGCGUGGGUAGCGAACAGGAUUAGAUACCCUGCUAGUCCACGCCGUAAACGAUGGAUACUAGCUGUUCGACCAACAUUGGUUGGUUGAGUGGCUAAGCGAAAGUGAUAAGUAUCCCACCUGGGGGAGU